Molecule: transfer RNA, 74 nt
Filed under: Candidatus Methanolliviera sp. GoM_oil
Lineage: Archaea; Methanobacteriati; Methanobacteriota; Candidatus Methanoliparia; Candidatus Methanoliparales; Candidatus Methanollivieraceae
Also listed under: 1 other name
Description: tRNA-Gly
Rfam family: tRNA
About the family: Transfer RNA (tRNA) molecules are approximately 80 nucleotides in length. Their secondary structure includes four short double-helical elements and three loops (D, anti-codon, and T loops).
Source: RNAcentral
UGCGCUGGUAGUGUAGUGGUUAUCACUGGAGCUUGCCAAGUUCCAGACCCGGGUUCAAUUCCCGGUCAGCGCAU